Molecule: ribosomal RNA, 253 nt
Filed under: uncultured bacterium
Lineage: Bacteria
Description: partial 16S ribosomal RNA
Rfam family: Bacterial small subunit ribosomal RNA
Source: RNAcentral
UACGUAGGGUGCGAGCGUUGUCCGGAUUUAUUGGGCGUAAAGAGCUCGUAGGCGGCUCGUUGCGUCGGCUGUGAAAACCCGCAGCUCAACUGUGGGCUUGCAGCCGAUACGGGCGGGCUGGAGUUCGGUAGGGGAGACUGGAAUUCCUGGUGUAGCGGUGAAAUGCGCAGAUAUCAGGAGGAACACCGGUGGCGAAGGCGGGUCUCUGGGCCGAUACUGACGCUGAGGAGCGAAAGCGUGGGGAGCGAACAGG